RNAcentral lists this ribosomal RNA (253 nucleotides) under uncultured bacterium. Its description in RNAcentral is "partial 16S ribosomal RNA". It matches the Rfam family "Bacterial small subunit ribosomal RNA", at positions 524 to 776 of the family's 1533-position model. The record is from RNAcentral.
UACGGGGGGGGCAAGCGUUGUUCGGAAUUACUGGGCUUAAAGGGCUUGUAGGCGGCCAACUAAGUCAGACGUGAAAUCCCUCAGCUUAACUGGGGAACUGCGUCUGAUACUGGAUGGCUUGGAUUUGGGAGAGGGAUGCGGAAUUCCAGGUGUAGCGGUGAAAUGCGUAGAUAUCUGGAGGAACACCGGUGGCGAAGGCGGCAUCCUGGACCAAUAUUGACGCUGAGAAGCGAAAGCCAGGGGAGCAAACGGG